AUUGAACGCUGGCGGCAUGCCUUACACAUGCGAGUCGAACGGCAGCACGGGUGCUUGCACCUGGUGGCGAGUGGCGAACGGGUGAGUAAUACAUCGGAACAUGUCCUGUAGUGGGGGAUAGCCCGGCGAAAGCCGGAUUAAUACCGCAUACGAUCUACGGAUGAAAGCGGGGGACCUUCGGGCCUCGCGCUAUAGGGUUGGCCGAUGGCUGAUUAGCUAGUUGGUGGGGUAAAGGCCUACCAAGGCGACGAUCAGUAGCUGGUCUGAGAGGACGACCAGCCACACUGGGACUGAGACACGGCCCAGACUCCUACGGGAGGCAGCAGUGGGGAAUUUUGGACAAUGGGCGAAAGCCUGAUCCAGCAAUGCCGCGUGUGUGAAGAAGGCCUUCGGGUUGUAAAGCACUUUUGUCCGGAAAGAAAUCCUUGGUCCUAAUACGGUCGGGGGAUGACGGUACCGGAAGAAUAAGCACCGGCUAACUACGUG
RNAcentral lists this ribosomal RNA (486 nucleotides) under uncultured bacterium. RNAcentral's name for it is "partial 16S ribosomal RNA". It matches the Rfam family "Bacterial small subunit ribosomal RNA", at positions 30 to 507 of the family's 1533-position model. The record is from RNAcentral.